GCUCGCUAGGUGGCGACACUUUGCCAUAUAUCCCUCCUCAGCCGAACUGUCAAAUCGUGAGACGUUGUUUGUAUACGAAAUUUUUAUCGGUUUCUAGCGUCGAUCCUAAGAAUAUCUGAACUACAAACAACGCCAGAAUGAAUCGUACCAUGGAUGAGAAGGAAGAGUUGGUGAAGAAAUCAUUGUUCAAUUUUGUCAGAAAACAAGUACCUGCUGCACAACUUAGCUUAAUUGAUGACAUUGUGCUGAGUUAUGUGGUUAGCAUGGUGGAAGAAAAUGCCUUGGAAGAAGACUUAGAUGUGGAGGGUCUGUGCGAAAUGGUGUCAGCCUGUCUUCCUGAAUUUUCUACUAUUGAAAAAGAUGCUGUCUCUAAAUGGUUGCUCGAUGUCAAGAAUAAACUAUAUCAAGGCAAUAAACAAAAUGAGAAUUGUCAAUCUCAAGAUCCAUUAAGUCACAUUAGCUUGACGGCAUUAUUGCCGCCGGACGCACAAAGAAUAAGGGUGCAUCACUUGUCAGAAACAAGCGAUGCAGGAAGCGAUUCCAGCGGCGAAUAUUUUGCAGAGCAGGAAUCUUCCUGGCAUCAAGUGGCUCUUCUACAAGAAAUGUUUCCAGGAGCAAGUCCUGCUGAAGCUCGACAUUGUUUGGCAGUGGCAGGAGGAGACGUAGCUAAAGCAGCUCAACUGGUCCUUCAUAGACAAGAAGCUGGCCAAAGUCUUGUUGGCAAUCUGACCUUCCUUACUCCCAGUGGCCGGAACAAGGCUCGUGUAAACGAUGAGGAAUUGAAGUCACGUAUCAUCGCUCGCUACAGUUACGUUGACAGAGAUGAUGAUUCCCGCGAACACCGUCCAGUAGCUCCAAAAACAGAGCCGAAGAAGCUGGUGCGCUAUCUUGACAACAAGAUCGUGAGUGUGAAGGGUGAACGUUACACGGAGGUUCGUCGUGGUGGCGAGGACGAGGAUGGACACGAAAAUGGAAGAAAGAGAGGCCACAGCCGCCCGUAACCAGGCCCUCCGCCUCCACCACCUGAUCCACCCCCUUGGAGGCAUCUGCUUUUAAAUUAAACUUCAAGUUAGAUCUUUUUCUUCUCGGCUGAGCCCAGGAGUAUAGCGAGAGAGUAUUGGAUAUCAGUGAGAAUAACGAGUUCAACAUAAACCUUUGGGUUUGGAAUACCUUAACACGUGCGAAUCGAAUAUUACUAUUUCCUUUUCUUUUGGCCGAAUCGUUAAAUAUAACGAGGAGGGGGAGGGGCGGUGACGGAAGUCCGCACAGACAAUGCAGAACUGUACAGACUUCAAGUUCAAUGAAAAUCAACGAUCAAUUUCGUUGCUACUUAAUUAAAGUAUAAAUCGUAAACCAAUUUGUUUUAAUUUUAUCACGCACAGUAUGCGUGACUCGCGUAUGAAAUUAUCUUAAGGACAGCUAACGUUAGCCAGAUAAUGGCUGAAUAGUUUAUAAUUGAAAAGAAUACACGGCAGUAGAUAUAAACAUUUAAGGACACAAAUAGGAAUAUUUGUAUGAUUUUCCUAAAUCUCUAACAUUUGCACAGUCGCUUCAUCUCCCAUUUGAAUUUUUAUACGUACGACAUUACAAGGAUCUUUGUUACUUGAUAUUUAUCUAAUGCAGAUUUAUCAUUUUUCCACAACUUUCACAUUGUUAAAAAUAAUCAUUUUCUAUUUGCCACCAUUUUUUCACAUACAUUCAUCUAGAGCGUAAAAUUAAUUGACCAAUGAGCAUUGCGAACUGUAUUCCUGUCUUGAUUUAGAAUGAUUUUUAAAAAUUCCUACGUUGUUAAAAAUUACGUAAUUGCAUUGUUUUUCUCAAAGCUACAAUACGGAAGUUUCGAAUAAUAUAACUGAUCUGUUACGUCAUUAUUAAAAUUAUAACUUCAAAUAUUAUUGAAGAUCGUGAUGUCCAUUAAAAAGUUAUGAAUUCAUAGUAAACUGCUAGCAGUCUAUAUUGUGUAGUAUGUAUACGUGCAAACAAAAAAAGCUUUUUUUAUUAUUAUACCUUAUGCAAAUGUCUCUGUAAUAAAAUUUGGCAUAUGAACAUUAGGUAGAGAACAAAAUGUGAACCACGUGUAUAGGCGGAAACAAAAUUUGAUUAUCACGCCAUAUGAUUUACCAGUAUUAUUAUUGUUAUUGCUAUUAUAAUUAAUACAAACUUUAACAUAUAGGACACGCAUAUAUUAUAUUCAUUAUAGUGUUAGAAUUCUUUACAUUGAGUGAUAUAUACUUCAUAACUAUUAUGAUAUACGGUAUCGAACAUCACAGAGAAAACUAUCGUUACUAUAAAGCGAUGAUUAUGAUUAUUAUUGAUUCAUAUUAUAUGUAAUAUCUUCAUUUGUUUUAUUGUCAUUAAUAUCGAUACUACUAUUACUAUUAAUGCUACUAUAUUUUUUACUAUUAUUACUAUUUUUAUUUCACGAGUGACUGAGUCGAAUAUCAUUUUAAAAAUAAGCACAUUUUUAUAUCCUACAUACUUAUUCUUUCCUUUUUUUUCCUCAACAAUGAAAUUACUUUCAGAUAUCAUUAAGUUAAUUGUAAAUGUGAAUCUGAUAAAUAUCAUUUCUUGAAUAUAAAACAAUUAUUCAAUAUGUUUGCAAAUUCAAAGUUUAGGUGUUGAGGAGAAAAAUGAUGAAUUAAAAAGAUGUAGGAUACGAAGAAGGAAGCAAUUUUAUUUCUUUUACAUAAUGGGACGAAUCUUGAGUCAAAUUGUCAUGGCUUUCUUUUAACAUUAAACAAGAAAAAAAGUAUAACAAUUCAUGGGAUGUAACGUACUUUGCCCCAUUUUAUAUGUGGUUUGAUAUGUUCAUUUUUAAGAUACAUUUUUAUAAUUAAGCUUUUGACACUAAUUACUAAUUGAACUACGGCAAUUAAAUAUCACUUUAUUAUGUCCAUCACCAUUGAACAGCCUUUGUCACUACAAUAUUAAUGAAUGUACUUUCAUUUUAUGACUGCAAUGCAUUGAUUUCGAUCGACUGACACCGAAAAUCCGGUGAUAUUUCAUUUCUUUUCAUUAUACACUUUACGUAAUUUACACCAAUAUCUUUAGGUAGUCCUAAAUAUGUAUCACAGUGGGCCGAUCCUUGCCAUAGAUAAUUCGUAUCUUUACUAUAGUAUCUGUAUACAAUAAGUAAACAAAUGAAAAUAUAACUAAACGUAUUCCAAUUUUUUGGCGGUAAACCGAGUGUAUUCUACCUUUGAUUAAUUUUUUAAAGUAAUUUCACAAUUGUUAAAGGGGGCGGGAUGAAGGUGAAGAAUGUUAUUUUCGUGGACAUUGGACACAUAUAUAUAUAUUAAUAUAUAUGUAUAAACACCAUCCACGAAUAAUAAUACCCAAUGAAUAUUACGGCACUAGUCGAACAACGUUAUGUACUUACAUGUUGGCCAAAAAGUCAAUAUGAUUUUAUUGAUAAUCGGGAAUACUUUAGUUCGCAGUAAAAGGUCUGCGUAUAGAUCACACGCGAUCUUCAUGUGUGUGUUUCAUAUAAUAAUUAUUAGACAUUACUACGAUAUACAUAGUAGUACGUAUAGAUACUCUAUUAUAUAGCUAUUAUUGCGAUAAUAAUUAUUAUACACUUAUAAAUAUAUAUUAUAAAUAACGAUUACGAGUACUAUAUAUUUCGCAUUCACUCUGUUACAAGUGACACAAUACUCUGUUAUAAUAUACUUUUGUCGACUACGAAUUUUUUAUUUUCAUAAACGUUCUCGUACGAAGAUUCUGACAUAAUGUGACACUUGCGCCAUCUGUAAAGAAGGUAAUAAAAAAUACAAAACAUUCUCGUUAUAUCAAUUAUAAAUUUCUCAAAUUGCGCAACUCUUGUAUAAACACUAAUUCAAAAGAUCUACGUACUUAUUACACGAUGAAUAGGAACAGUAUGUAAAAAUAUGGCAAUGGUACUCGGUUGCGAUAUUAAUGCAUUGAGGGACCUUAAGAAAAUUAAAAAAAAAAAACAUUUUUGUGUCACGGUCUAUCUUCUGAAUAAUUAUAUUUAGUUUCUUCUUUUACUAUCUAUUGACUGACGCUCGUGUGAAGUUUACGUGGUACUCAGUACUUUACUGCUUUUAUUAUUUUACUCUAUAUAUGUAUACACAUAACUAUUAUUAUUAUACUUACCUUAAGAGAGGCGGUAAUUCGCCACAUGAUUGUCUUAUUAAUAAAAGCAAUGAUUUUAUUGCUUUUACCGUGAGCAUUAGUGUAAAGGACUACACGUGACUACUACACGACCACAAGUAUUACACAUUGCCGGGUAUAGUAAUGAGAUUAUUAAUUGUAAAUUACUACGUAUGACAUAACUUAAAAUCUAGUAUCUCACUUUACCCAUUUAUUUUUCUCUGCUCACGACCGAUGGUCCUGUAAUUCAAUAAAUAAAAUAAUAAACAAG
This is an RNA transcript of Cephus cinctus (wheat stem sawfly), 4384 nucleotides long. It is a transcript of the gene named CUE domain-containing protein 2-A, with no coding region annotated. Lineage: Eukaryota; Metazoa; Arthropoda; Insecta; Hymenoptera; Cephidae. The record is from RefSeq and is a predicted model, not a curated record. The transcript is spliced from 6 exons.